GCCUGGGUGGCUCAGUUGGUAGAGCACUUGCCCCCAAGAGACAAAUGUCCCGAGUUCGAGUCUCGGUCCGGCACGCA
Non-coding RNA from Schistocerca serialis cubense, 77 nucleotides. NCBI's taxonomy places the organism in Eukaryota, Metazoa, Arthropoda, Insecta, Orthoptera, Acrididae. The record is from the annotation of a RefSeq genome assembly.